ACGACAGAAAGGAGCUUGCUCCUUUGACGUUAGCGGCGGACGGGUGAGUAACACGUGGGCAACCUACCCUAUAGUUUGGGAUAACUCCGGGAAACCGGGGCUAAUACCGAAUAAUCUCUUUUGCUUCAUGGCGAGAGACUGAAAGACGGUUUCGGCUGUCUGGGAAAGCCACGGCUAACUACGUGCCAGCGCCGCGUAAUACGUAGGUGGCAAGCGUUGUCCGGAUUAUGGCGUAAAGCGCGCGCGGCGGUCUUUAAGUCUGAUGUGAAGCCACGCCUCACCGUGAGGGUCAUUGAAACUGGGGACUGAGUGCAGAAGAGAAAGUGAAUCCAAGUGAGCGGUGAAUGCGUAGAGAUUGGAGAACACAGUGCGAGCUAUUUCUGGUCUGUACUGACGCUGAGGCGCGAAGCUGGGAGCAACAGAUAGACCCUGUAGUCAACGCGUAAACAUGAGGCUAGUGUUAGGGGUUCCGCCUUAGGCUGCAGCAACGAUAAGCCUCCGCUGGGGGGAGGCCCAGAUGAAAUAAAGGAUGACGGCGCCGACAGCGUGGACAUUGUUAAUCGAGCACGAAGACUACAGUCUGCAUCGUGACACUGAGAGAUAUAGUUUUCCCUUCGGGGGCAACGGUGACAGGUGGUGCAUGGUUGUCGUCAGCUCGUGUCGUGAGAUGUUGGGUUAAGUCCCGCAACGAGCGCAACCCUUGAUCUUAGUUGCCAUCAUUUAGUUGGGCACUCUAAGGUGACUGCCGGUGACAAACCGGAGGAAGGUGGGGAUGACGUCAAAUCAUCAUGCCCCUUAUGACCUGGGCUACACACGUGCUACAAUGGACGAUACAAACGGUUGCCAACUCGCGAGAGGGAGCUAAUCCGAUAAAGUCGUUCUCAGUUCGGAUUGUAGGCUGCAACUCGCCUACAUGAAGCCGGAAUCGCUAGUAAUCGCGGAUCAGCAUGCCGCGGUGAAUACGUUCCCGGGCCUUGUACACACCGCCCGUCACACCACGAGAGUUUGUAACACCCGAAGUCGGUGAGGUAACCUUUG
This 1038-nucleotide ribosomal RNA is filed under the name Lysinibacillus boronitolerans. Its description in RNAcentral is "bacterial SSU rRNA". It matches the Rfam family "Bacterial small subunit ribosomal RNA", at positions 66 to 1444 of the family's 1533-position model. Lineage: Bacteria; Bacillati; Bacillota; Bacilli; Caryophanales; Bacillaceae. The record is from RNAcentral.